This is a small nuclear RNA of Vulpes vulpes (red fox), 107 nucleotides long. The record is from Ensembl. NCBI's taxonomy places the organism in Eukaryota, Metazoa, Chordata, Mammalia, Carnivora, Canidae.
AUGUUCACUUUGGCAGCACAUAUACUAAAAUUGGAACAAUACAGAGAAGAUUAGCAUGGCCUCUGCACAAGGAUGACACACUAUUAAGUAAAGUGCAUAAUUUCUAG